ACCAGUCUUGGCAGCUGC
RNAcentral lists this small nuclear RNA (18 nucleotides) under Arabidopsis thaliana (thale cress). RNAcentral describes it as "snRNA_05543". Lineage: Eukaryota; Viridiplantae; Streptophyta; Magnoliopsida; Brassicales; Brassicaceae. The record is from RNAcentral.